This 501-nucleotide ribosomal RNA is filed under the name Astropecten aranciacus. Its description in RNAcentral is "partial 16S ribosomal RNA". It matches the Rfam family "Bacterial large subunit ribosomal RNA", at positions 1971 to 2620 of the family's 2925-position model. Lineage: Eukaryota; Metazoa; Echinodermata; Asteroidea; Paxillosida; Astropectinidae. The record is from RNAcentral.
GCCUUUUAAUGGAGGCUGGUAUGAAUGGCAAGACGGAGGUUUAGCUGUCUCUCUUUUAGAAUCUUGAAUUUGCCAUCUUCGUGAAGAGGCGAAGAUAAAGUCGUAGGACGAGAAGACCCUAUCGAGCUUAAGCUUUAUAAUAGAGUUGAAAAAUUUUUGUUUUUAGGCUAAUUGAAAAACGACUUAAUUUUACCUAGGAAUAAAGAUUAACUACUAUUAGAAUGUUUUGGUUGGGGCAACCGCGGAGAAAAUACACCCUCCGUUACAAAAUUAGAAAAACUUACUACUUUGGGAAAUUUUAAAGUUUAAAAAUGAUCCACUAAAAAGUGAUCAAAGGAAUAAGUUACCGUAGGGAUAACAGCGUAAUUUUUUUGGAGAGUUCAUAUUGAUAAAAAAGUUUGCGACCUCGAUGUUGGAUCGGGACUUCCAGGAGAUGCAGAAGUUUCCAAGGGUUGGUCUGUUCGACCAUUAAAGUCCUACGUGAUCUGAGUUCAGACCGGA